This 1369-nucleotide long non-coding RNA is filed under the name Mus musculus (house mouse). Its description in RNAcentral is "long non-coding RNA chr2:74857119-74858488". The record is from RNAcentral. Lineage: Eukaryota; Metazoa; Chordata; Mammalia; Rodentia; Muridae.
AAAAGGCUGCAGUUGAAUAAAAGGCUAUUUGAUGUCUGAAGGUUUUUAAUGUUGUAAAUUUUACAUCUUUUUUGUAUAUCUACAUAGAUAUCUAUAUUAACUUCUAUUAAAAUCAUUAAACUGUUUUCUGGAAAUGGAUGACUUUUGGGUUUUAAAUUUAAUUCAAGUAAUUUUUUUCCUCAUAGUUUCUUCUAGAAUGUUAUUAGUAUGUUUGGUAAUAAAGAUUUGAAAUGUGAUGUGCAUAUUAUUUGGGAUACUGCUGAGCUAUCUCUGCAGCUCAUGCAGGCUGUCUUUAUAAUUUUUAGUGUAGUGUAGUCACUUUCAGAUGAUCUCAGCCUGCCAUUGGUGUAAAUCCAUGGUAUCCAGCAGACCCCAGCAGACAUCAUCUAUCCACACAAGUCUAGACCUUAGGCACAUGUGCCUCUUGAACAUGGAAAAAUGACUAGGUUGUCUGAGAAAAUGAUUUUGAAUUUUUGUACAAUUUUAUUAAACUUAUAUUUGACCUAAAUAGCAACCUGUUACUAAUAAUUACCAUAUUGGACAGCCUGGUUAUAAAACAUUGGGCACAUUGGGAUAGGAUAUGCCAUGAAAAUUGUUUGAUGUGGUUAUUUCUUUGAAUUGCUUUGGAAUUAAGUGUCUAACUGAAGGUUUAGUUAGCAUAAAUAUAUUGUUAUAGCCAAGACUACAUUUUCCCCAUCUCAGAAUAAAAUUAAAUGGUUCUACCUCACAUUAAAAUCAAAUCCUGGCCACUUUGGUUGGUGCACUCAAAUAACAUGGCAAGUAAGCAACUCCGAAUGCUUAGCAUCAAAUCUAUAGUAUUAUAAAUGGUUGUAGGAAAAUUGAAGGAGAUUGUGAGGAGUAGAAAUACAAUAAUGUAAAAAUACUCUGAUUUUUAGAGACCUUUCUUUUGCUUUAGGAGAUCAUGUGUCCAUAAGUUACAAAGCUGUGGUAGUCAGGCUGUGAGUAAAGGGGGUUUCUUUUUAGGGGGAAUCAUUUCUAGAGGACUAGAAUUUUAAUUGAUAGACUUUUAAAAUUAGAAAGCUUUAUUUAUCCAAACAGGGUCUUGUAAUGUAGCCCAGGCUGGCUGGCACUUAGUUUUAAUUAGUCUUACCCUAGUGUUCAAAGUGGGUAGAUUUUUUUUUUCUAUAGGAUGCUGUUCUUGUUCAGUACUGUUACCAGUUAGUGAGACUAAAGACUGAUUUUUCAAUCCAGAGUAGAAAAGGAGUCACAGGAAACAACUCUUAUGAGAAAUUUGUGUUGGGUAUGAGCAGGGUCUUCUGUUUAUAAUCUUAGUAAAUAAUAGCCUUGUUAAAUAAGUAAUUCAUAGUAAUUCACAUUUGACUAUUUUUGUUAUAGUUUUAUCAAUUUG